UUUAAAAGUUUUAUUUUAGCUUAAAAAAUUUAUUAUUAAUUUAUAUUAUAUGUAAAUUUUUGUAUGAAUUUAUAUUAAUUUUAAAAAUUAAUAUAUUAUAGAUAAUUUAUUUGCAAUAAUUAAUAUUAUUAAUUAAAGAAAUUUAGAAAUAGAAAUAUUAAUUUAAUAUUAACUUAAUUUGUGCCAGCAGUUGCGGUUAUACAAAUAAUAUGAAUAAAUUUUAUUAAUAUUAGUUAAAUUGAAAGUUUAUAAAAUAAAAAUAAAUUUAUUAAGUGAAAUUUUAAAUUUAUGAAUAUAUUUAUAAUUUAAUAGAUAUUAAAGCUAGAAAUUUUUAAUAAUAAACUAGGAUUAGAUACCCUAUUAUUUAAAAUGUAAUUAAAUUUAUUUGAGUAGUAUUAGUUAUAUUCUUGAAACUUAAAAAAUUUGGCGGUAUUUUAGUCUAUUCAGAGGAACUUGUUUUUUAAUCGAUAAUCCACGAUGUACCUUACUUAAAAUUGUUAAUCAAUUUAUAUAUCGUUGUUAUUAGAAUAUUUUAUAAGAAUAAUAAUUUUCUAUAAUUUUUAUUAAAAUUAAUAUCAAAUCAAGGUGUAGUUUAUUUUUAAGUAUAAAUGAGUUACAAUAAAAUAUAUUUAUGGAUUUAAAUAUGAAAAAUUUAAUGAAAUUGGAUUUGAUAGUAAAAUUAUAAAGAUAAAUAAUUUGAUUUUAGCUCUAAAAUAUGUACAUAUCGCCCGUCACUCUUGUUAUUAAAAUAAGAUAAGUCGUAACAUAGUAGAUGUACUGGAAAGUGUAUCUAGAA
This 796-nucleotide non-coding RNA is filed under the name Allograpta javana. The record is from RNAcentral. Lineage: Eukaryota; Metazoa; Arthropoda; Insecta; Diptera; Syrphidae.